AGAAAAUUCUCCCCCAUAAACCCACUAACUAGAUAGGUCCUCACUGCAUCCACCACCAUUCACUACCCCCAUUGUCGGUUGUGACAGAGGCCUUUGUCUGCAAAAACUGCACUAGGGGUUCCUAACUCUACACGAGGAUGAGGAUAUGCUCUUCUACUUUCUCUAUAGUCAUGGAUACUAUGGCCAAUCUUCUUGCAAUGCCCACAUCUUCCUAGGCUAUCUUCAUAAAUAAUGACUUGAGUGAACCAGAAUCGCUCACCUGUUUCAGGCUGUCUUCACUCCAUUUGUAUCUCUUCAAUCCUUCUGCUACCCACCUCUGACUCGACCAUAACCCUGGCAUAGCUGCCCAUGGAUGUUGCACGGGUUCUAUGAUCAAGUGCCAUUGGCCUACUAGUAGCUUUAGCCAUUGUGAGUAGAACCUUCUCGUGCCAGUAAUCGAGGGGAAGGUCUAGGAAGAGAAUUCAGACCAUCCUCAUAAUAGGUUGUUUUUCGUUUAAAUUGAAAUCCCUGUUCCACCUUUGGAAUCUUAUCAUAUGAGUUCCCACUCUGACCGAGUUUUGCUUCCAUAUCAUCACCAUGUCAGACUCUAGUUUGAAUUGUAAGAGAAAAAAGUCUUUACCCAUCGGAGCCAAGGCAGAUCUGCUCUUCAAAGACAAGGAUUCUUUUGCUUCCCUUCGAAUAUCAUUCAUAGAAACGUAUUUAAAAUUUUUUUCUCCCAAUGAGAGCAAACUUAAAUUUUUCAAGGCACUCUUCAUAAGCCUCUUGCGGACGAUGACUAUGGUUAGAGAUCCUACCUAGAUAGGAUCAGGCAAGUCAUCAAUAACAGGGAGCGCUCCUCCCACAAUAGUAGAAUACGUUGCUUUCUCUUUAGGAUCGUGUGAAGCCGUAGCAGAAGGGAGGACAGCGGCAGCCUCUGCUCCCGCAGGCUGCCUCUCCUUUGGUUUCCAAAGUCGGUGAGGAGAGAUUGUCUUCCAUGAUCAGGAGGAUGACCUCCAUGCCCAUUGCCCAGAUCCCUAGCUCUCACAUUAGCCAUCAUGUCUUGUCCUCCAAAUAUUAGUUGGAAAUUUGUCUGAAGAGAAUAUUAUAUUGCCUCCACAAAAAAAAUUCCCUAGGACUACUAUAACUCGUAUGAUAUAUACCAUGAAAAAUAUGAAGGUGAACCUCAAUAAGAAACAUAUGAUGUAGCCCAAUUGCAUCUAAGCUCAACAACUAAGAGCCCGUUUGGUAUCGUUCCAAAAAAAGUUUCUACCAUUUUUUUCGUUCUAUUGGAAUGGAAAAACUAAAAAAACUGUUUGGCAACCUUAUGAUGUGUUUCAAUUUUUUUGAAACAAAAAUUGGGAAAAAAACGAUUUGGAGGCCAAAAGACUGAACGACAAAUUGUCGUUCUGUCCGUUAAGUUUCGUUCCAAACUUGUAAAAAGAGGAACGAUUUUGAACCCUUGUUCCCGAUAAAAUCACUCACCCUCUUUCUCCUCACCCUUUCACCUUUGUGCACACAGAACUGGAGAAGAACGAUCACUAGAGAAGAAGCACGAUCAACCUUCACUCCUCGACACAGUAGGGAGAACUCUGCUGCUCAUCUCUGCUGGUCUCUGCUCGUCGAUCACGUCUGGAAGUCUCAGAUCUCAUCUGUGAAGUAUCAGAUCUCUACUCGUUUUCGCUCAAACAGUCAAGUAUACAUGACAAGAGAAAUCAAGACUGAGGAAAUUGUUGCUCUGAAAAAGAUUCGAAUGGACAGUGAAAGAGAAGGGGUAUGCUCUAUGUUCUUUACUAUGUUGAUUGUGCAUGUAUAAAUACAUAUUGGUCUCUAAGAAUGCAUUUGACAAUUUUUCUUUUUUUUGUAAUUCCUUUUUUUUUCUUGCUAAAGGUCAGCAAAAGUAUAUUGAUAAUCAUCAAAUGUGUAGUUACAAAUGCCCUUCAAGCCUUUGUUCCACCUUCGGCAUGACCAUCAAUAGAAAAGAGACUCAAAGCAAGGAAGACAAAGUAAAUUACAUAAAUCGAAAUCUAGACCUAUGUUGAAAGUCCCAAUCAAGCUCAUAAGUUAUAAAAGAUGGAGAAGCAUCCCAAAUCUUUGAAGUACGAGUAGUAGUAGCAUGCUUGGCUAGCUUGUCCGUUAUAGUAUUUAUUUCCCGAUAACAAUGAGAUAUAGUCCAAGUUAUAUUGUCAAAAUAACCUUUGUAGUACCACCAUCUUUGUAAAAAGCACCAUGGAAUAUUCUGUCUUUUGAUGCAAGAAACAACAGCCUGACAUUCUAUUCACAAAUUCCUAAUUUCCUUCAAAGAUGCUUAGUGUAUUCCAUGGAAGAAAGCAGAAAAUUCAGCCAUGAAGUUAGUUCCAAUUCCCUCAUAGAUUGCAUAACAACCCAUCUAAGAAGAUGCACUGUGAAGAAUACCACCUGCGCCUGAGCUGCUUGGACUCCCUAUAAAGCAUCCAUCUAUAUUUAGUUUCCAGACACCCCUUGGAGGUGCCUCCCAAUUUAAUUCCAAGAUGUGAUUUGAAGUUGUUCUUGUGGUACUAUGAAUAUCAAGCUUCUUUGAAAUGAGGAGAUCAGCCAUUGACUUGAUAUGCAUAGGAACAAGGAAGGAGAGAUCCUUAAUGUCUUUCAUAAUAUAAUGCACCAUAUAGCUUGUCGGCAAACUCUGAUUAUCAAACCUUCUUCUGUUUUGUAAUUCCCUAUAAAUGCUAUACAUGAAAUUAAAAUCAUAAAGAAGUUGCAGCAUGAAAAUGUAGUUAAGCUGAAGGAGAUUGUCAACUCCCAAGGUCACAAAAGGGAUGAACAAGGGAACCCAGGUUAGUUCUUUGAUGUAAAUAUAUAUUUUUUUAACCUAUUCGCAUAAUUAUAUACUGUUUUGUUGUUGGUAAGAUAUGUUCAAGAUGGUUCUGCAUGUGGUAUGUUCAGCAACACAAAGAGAGUUUAAUCGGAGAAUUUUUAAUGAUAGACAGAAAUUCAGAUUACAUCAGUUCAAAAACCUAUUUUUUUAUUUUAGACACCAUGUCUGAUUUUGGGCGUGACAUAAACAUCCGGAAGGUGGAACUCUGAGGCAACAGGUUGUUGUUAGUUUCCUAUUUAUCCAUCGAUAUAUUAUUGGUCUUCUUAUGUGGUGCACUGUUCUCCAUAUUCAGCAUAGCAGCCAAUUAAUCUUGAAGUUAUUGUUCUGUACUGUCCUUAGUUAACAGCCUUCAUCUUCAUCCAAGGAAAAGCAGGUUGAAAGAUUAUCAAUAUCUAGUUAACAAUGAUCGCAUACUAACUACUGAUGUAGAGAGAGAAAAAAAUUUUAGUUGAGGAAAGACCUCAAAGUAAGAGCAUUCAAGACUUACCAUGUCAUACCAAGCCAGGUAAUAUUGAUGAUUUAUGACUUUGUUCAUCUUUCUUGCACUCUAUACAAAAUUCCCUUGAAAAACAGUCUUCUUUCUUAUUGGCAUCUGUUUGUGCUAAUUUCCCAUCAUUAAUUUGUGUUAAUGUUAUGUUGUCUACACUGUGAGAUAUAAACUUAAGCACGAGUAUAUUGGCCUUUUUGGGAAUGAGAUCAAGAGCUUGAAGUUAUUAGGUGUGGAGGUCUAUCUUUGCCUUCAUACCAUCAGAAACAUCUAAUUAUUUUGUACUUUUAUGGUUUUUGUUUUACAUGCCUUCCCCUUUGAGGAACUUGGGUGAGGUAAUGGAAUCAAGUAGAUAUUUGCAGAUUAUAUAUAUAUUUUCACCUUUUCUGAGAUUGCUUUCAUAGGAGACACCAUGUCUGAUUUCAUAGCUAAACCCCGACAAUGUUGAUGCUUUGAAGGCAAGGUGCUAUUGCUUCUUCACAUUGCUCUCCUUUUCUCUUCCUUGUUGAUAAAGAAUUUUUUCUUUCAUCUGUGCAGAGCAACUUUGUUGACAAUGCAAUGAUGUUGGAAAGUGCGAGAUUAUGGAUGCACUCACUUGUCUGAGAUCAAUUCUUUGAAGCUAAUCACAAGACCCAUUAUGUUGUUUAGCAGUGAGGACCUGGGAUAUGUGCUUUGGCCUUCUAACUAAUUGCUUCUCCUUCUUGCAGAUAGUUAAUUAUGCUUAUAAGUUCAAGAACAAAGCAGUUCUUCUAAUACAUUUCUCAGCUAGCUAUCGGGCCGAUAUUCUCCUGAUCUUCAUGGGAGUAUCUGUCUUUUUGCUCCGCUGCCUUGGAGAUAUCUUCUAUAUAGGAG
Macadamia integrifolia is the source of this 4169-nucleotide RNA transcript. RefSeq lists it as uncharacterized. Lineage: Eukaryota; Viridiplantae; Streptophyta; Magnoliopsida; Proteales; Proteaceae. The record is from RefSeq and is a predicted model, not a curated record. The transcript has 5 exons.